GUGUUCCUACAUGUGGGGCCACCACGUCGGAAGAGCACCCCAGGGAGACGCUGCUGGAGAAGACUCAGCCAAGUGAGGUUCAGACACACAUGCCUACUAGCACUGUUCCCAUGGACAGUAAUGUGGUGGCCAUUAUCAUAGCUACCAUUUCUUCUUCAGUGUUCAUCGUGGCCAUUUUGGUGCUGCUGCUGCUUUUGUACCACCGGGACCCUCUGUGCUGCCAGUUUCUGUGCUCUUGCCGUUUCUUCCAGAAUCCCAGUCAAUAUGUGAGUACCGCAUUCGCCUCUCCCGGCCGUUUUGUCCAACUCCCUUGCCCACCAGGUUUCCUAAUCCACUCACUCACUCGCCCACCGUUGGGACCCAAGAUAAAGGGCUGUUUUCUUUGUGCCAUGCGUGCGCUGAGCAGAACACUGGGCACCCUACUCUGUCUUUUGCAAAGGAGCUUUGCACAGCCAAGAUCUCUCCAUUUGCACAGAACAGCCUCGGGUUGUAUUCCCCCCCUUUCUCCUAGAUGGGUCGCAGCCGCUCAAGGUCUAUUUGCAGUCCUCCCCUGCUGGAUUUCAGUGCUGGGCGCUGAGGGAUUUCUAAGCCCCCCUGCUUGCUUCCCACUUUUGUCCACAAACAAAGCCCUUUCACCUGAGCCGUUCCCCAAUUGCCGGGUCUUUGAGCGGGGAUUGUACUGUGGCUGCAUGUGUGGGGAGGAGGCGCAUUGUAGAACUGGGAGAGCAGGAGAAAGUAAUACGCUCCGCGUGACUCAUGUCGGUGGGGCAAUGAGGGACUCCCUCUGUGCCAAAGAGCACGGCACCUCUCCCUUACUCCAGGGCAGGCUCUUUCAGCACCAAGCCUCCCUCCCUCUUUUGCAGGGAAGAAACACAGCAGGACUUGCUACUGUAUGGCAGGGUUAAAUACAGACAAUGCCACUCUUGAUGGCUGGUAUCCCAGCAACCAGUAUUAUGCUUUCCGCCGCUCACGAUUGGGGACAGCCAAAGAGAGAACUUUCUCCCUUUCUUUUCUCCUUCCCUCCCUCCCUCCUUCCCUCUCACCCACCCACCCACUCACACUUUCUUAGGAGUGAUAUUUGUUUUCCAUCAAGUGGAUAAGCAGAGCAGCUAGAAUAAAGGUGGGCCACUUCAUGGCA
RNAcentral lists this long non-coding RNA (1138 nucleotides) under Pogona vitticeps (central bearded dragon). RNAcentral's name for it is "lncRNA (ENSPVIG00000007548.1)". Lineage: Eukaryota; Metazoa; Chordata; Lepidosauria; Squamata; Agamidae. The record is from RNAcentral.